GAUGAACGCUGGCGGCGUGCCUAAUACAUGCAAGUCGAGCGAACAGACGAGGAGCUUGCUCCUCUGACGUUAGCGGCGGACGGGUGAGUAACACGUGGAUAACCUACCUAUAAGACUGGGAUAACUUCGGGAAAACCGGAGCUAAUACCGGAUAAUAUAUUGAACCGCAUGGUUCAAUAGUGAAAGACGGUUUUGCUGUCACUUAUAGAUGGAUCCGCGCCGCAUUAGCUAGUUGGUAAGGUAACGGCUUACCAAGGCAACGAUGCGUAGCCGACCUGAGAGGGUGAUCGGCCACACUGGAACUGAGACACGGUCCAGACUCCUACGGGAGGCAGCAGUAGGGAAUCUUCCGCAAUGGGCGAAAGCCUGACGGAGCAACGCCGCGUGAGUGAUGAAGGUCUUCGGAUCGUAAAACUCUGUUAUUAGGGAAGAACAAAUGUGUAAGUAACUAUGCACGUCUUGACGGUACCUAAUCAGAAAGCCACGGCUAACUACGUG
This 498-nucleotide ribosomal RNA is filed under the name uncultured bacterium. RNAcentral's name for it is "partial 16S ribosomal RNA". It matches the Rfam family "Bacterial small subunit ribosomal RNA", at positions 28 to 507 of the family's 1533-position model. The record is from RNAcentral.